Molecule: long non-coding RNA, 1263 nt
Organism: Grus americana (Whooping crane)
Lineage: Eukaryota; Metazoa; Chordata; Aves; Gruiformes; Gruidae
Exons: 8
Source: RefSeq, a predicted model, not a curated record
CUUAAACCAGCCACCACUUUGCUCGUUUCAACCUUUGACACUAUGAAGAGUUUCAAGGUCUUGUCUUCUGAAAAUGUUUACCUUGUGAGGUGGCUUCCUGGGUAGGGGGUCGCACCAAGAGAAUAUCCUGACUUCGUGCUCAGAGGCAGGAGGUUACAGUUCUCCACAGAUUCUUUAAGUGCUUCAUAUCUCCACAGGCUUAAUUUGGCAGCUUCUGCUGAAAAUAUCUACAAAGUUGCUGUUUCUGAAGUUAUCCUGAUUUCAAACUCUGCUUUACUAAGGUGUUAAAGGUUAUACUGCAUUGAAGACCAUUUACAUAUUUUCCCCAAGAUCACUUUGCAAAAUAGUUUUGAAAUCAUUUGAAAAGCUACUGGAAAAUUCACCUGUGUGAUUAUUGUUUCAAGAAGACAUAAGAUCCGUCUAUGUGGAGAGCUGUGGUGCUGGUGGAAGGGUUGCCUGAAUGGUCCAGGAGUGAACUUGCCUAUUGCAUACAAGUCAUGCAGAGGGUCGUGCAGCUUGUGGGAACAAGAAGAGCUCUUGGGAAGUUACGGGGAAAGAAAAAUGGAAGCAUAAUGGUGAAAUAUGAGCAAACAGUUUGUCUGUGAUGCAGUAUGAGGAUGGUCCUUCUCACUUGGAAAACAACAGUGAGGCUAACUCCACUUCUCCAGUCCCAUGGUCGGAAAAUGGUAUUGAAUAAUCUUCCAAAUAGAAGACUUUCAGCUUUGUUACUUGCAUGCAUCAUCAUUUCCUCAAAGCAUCUCCUGAUUUCAGAGGCCCUCUAACUCCAGAACAAUACAAGGUAUCGCCAGAACAGCAAAAAGGAAAUGUAUUGAUUCUGGAAAACAGGUCCAGCAUACCAUUGAUGCCGAUACAAUAGAUAAUUUAAUUCAAACAAAUUUCCCCGAGAUGACAAAAACCUAAAGCAUAACAAGAUGAUCGCAAGGUAUGUAGUCUGGUAUUCAUUCAGCUACGCUCCAGAGUCUGCGCUGAGCUAUGAGACCAGUCUUGGUCCAGAAGCCAGGAGAUCCUGCCUCUCUCCUCCUUGCUCUAACUCCACUUGCUUUGGAGGAGGAGUUGCCUCAGUUUCCUUCGCUCUAGAGCAGAAAUUCUAGUGUUUAUGAAAUGUUCAUGGGACCUUGUUGGACGCUUGUUCAAAGGACAGUUUGAUGGUGUGAAAUGCCUUCUUACCGUGGAGUAAGCUAAGACAGAAGAAUGAGCAAGUGGUGUUUAAGACUCAGGUAUUUCAUCCCUAUCCAGUUAUUU